Molecule: transfer RNA, 65 nt
Filed under: Onthophagus rhinolophus
Lineage: Eukaryota; Metazoa; Arthropoda; Insecta; Coleoptera; Scarabaeidae
Description: tRNA-Pro
Source: RNAcentral
CAGAAAAUAGUUUAUAAAAAUUUUAAUUUUGGAGAUUAAAGAUAGGAAGAAAUUUCUUUUUCUGA